CCUACGGGUGGCAGCAGUGAGGAAUAUUGGUCAAUGGGCGCGAGCCUGAACCAGCCAAGUCGCGUGAGGGAGGACGGCCCUACGGGUUGUAAACCUCUUUUGCCGGGGAGCAACGGGCGCCACGUGUGGCGUCACUGAGAGUACCCGGAGAAAAAGCAUCGGCUAACUCCGUGCCAGCAGCCGCGGUAAUACGGAGGAUGCGAGCGUUAUCCGGAUUUAUUGGGUUUAAAGGGUGCGUAGGCGGAACGUAAAGUCAGUGGUAAAAUGGAGGGGCUCAACCCCUUCCCGCCGUUGAAACUGGCGUUCUUGAGUGGGAGAGAAGUAUGCGGAAUGCGUGGUGUAGCGGUGAAAUGCAUAGAUAUCACGCAGAACCCCGAUUGCGAAGGCAGCAUACCGGCUUCCGACUGACGCUGAAGCACGAAAGCGUGGGGAUCGAACAGGAUUAGAUACCCUAGUAGUC
This 460-nucleotide ribosomal RNA is filed under the name uncultured bacterium. Its description in RNAcentral is "partial 16S ribosomal RNA". It matches the Rfam family "Bacterial small subunit ribosomal RNA", at positions 338 to 795 of the family's 1533-position model. The record is from RNAcentral.